Pseudopipra pipra is the source of this 425-nucleotide long non-coding RNA. RefSeq lists it as uncharacterized. The transcript is spliced from 3 exons. NCBI's taxonomy places the organism in Eukaryota, Metazoa, Chordata, Aves, Passeriformes, Pipridae. The record is from RefSeq and is a predicted model, not a curated record.
UUGUGACAGAGGGGGAUGGAAAAGUUGGAAGCCUUUCCCUUUUGGUGUGUUGUUGCCAGGCAGUCCAGCAGGAGCAGGAAGAAUGUGUUGCUGUUCUGCUGGAACACGGUGCCGACCCCAAUCUGGCAGAUGCUGACGGCAACACUGCCCUUCACCUGGCUGUCCUCUCUAAAAACACAGCUGUAGCAGGGCUGUUACUGGAGCAUCAUGCCAAGAGUGAUGCUCAGAACCAGUGGGGAUUUACCCCCUUGAAACUUGCAGCCUUGCAACAGCACGAGGAGAUUCUGGAGUGCCUUGUGAACAAAGCAGCUGACAGGCCUGCUCAAGCCCAGGGGGAAAGGACUGCUCUUGUGGUUCCUGGAAGCCAUGAGGCUCACCUGGAGGAAGAUAAUCUGCGCUUCCAGGAGGAGUUGGACAGGGCUGAC